This 467-nucleotide ribosomal RNA is filed under the name uncultured bacterium. RNAcentral describes it as "partial 16S ribosomal RNA". It matches the Rfam family "Bacterial small subunit ribosomal RNA", at positions 28 to 507 of the family's 1533-position model. The record is from RNAcentral.
GAUGAGCGCUGACAGAAUGCUUAACACAUGCAAGUCAACUUGAAUUUGGGUUUUUAACUUAGGUUUGGGUGGCGGACGGGUGAGUAACGCGUAAAGAACUUGCCUCACAGCUAGGGACAACAUUUGGAAACGAAUGCUAAUACCUAAUAUUAUGAUAAUAGGGCAUCCUAUAAUUAUGAAAGCUAUAAGCGCUGUGAGAGAGCUUUGCGUCCCAUUAGCUAGUUGGAGAGGUAACGGCUCACCAAGGCGAUGAUGGGUAGCCGGCCUGAGAGGGUGAUCGGCCACAAGGGGACUGAGACACGGCCCUUACUCCUACGGGAGGCAGCAGUGGGGAAUAUUGGACAAUGGACCAAGAGUCUGAUCCAGCAAUUCUGUGUGCACGAUGAAGUUUUUCGGAAUGUAAAGUGCUUUCAGUUGGGAAGAAAGAAAUGACGGUACCAACAGAAGAAGUGACGGCUAAAUACGUG